RNAcentral lists this ribosomal RNA (1395 nucleotides) under uncultured bacterium. RNAcentral describes it as "bacterial SSU rRNA". It matches the Rfam family "Bacterial small subunit ribosomal RNA". The record is from RNAcentral.
AGAGUUUGAUCCUGGCUCAGAUUGAACGCUGGCGGCAGGCCUAACACAUGCAAGUCGAGCGGUAGAGAGAAGCUUGCUUCUCUUGAGAGCGGCGGACGGGUGAGUAAUGCCUAGGAAUCUGCCUGGUAGUGGGGGAUAACGUUCGGAAACGGACGCUAAUACCGCAUACGUCCUACGGGAGAAAGCAGGGGACCUUCGGGCCUUGCGCUAUCAGAUGAGCCUAGGUCGGAUUAGCUAGUUGGUGAGGUAAUGGCUCACCAAGGCGACGAUCCGUAACUGGUCUGAGAGGAUGAUCAGUCACACUGGAACUGAAACACGGUCCAGACUCCUACGGGAGGCAGCAGUGGGGAAUAUUGGACAAUGGGCGAAAGCCUGAUCCAGCCAUGCCGCGUGUGUGAAGAAGGUCUUCGGAUUGUAAAGCACUUUAAGUUGGGAGGAAGGGCAGUAAAUUAAUACUUUGCUGUUUUGACGUUACCGACAGAAUAAGCACCGGCUAACUCUGUGCCAGCAGCCGCGGUAAUACAGAGGGUGCAAGCGUUAAUCGGAAUUACUGGGCGUAAAGCGCGCGUAGGUGGUUUGUUAAGUUGGAUGUGAAAUCCCCGGGCUCAACCUGGGAACUGCAUUCAAAACUGACUGACUAGAGUAUGGUAGAGGGUGGUGGAAUUUCCUGUGUAGCGGUGAAAUGCGUAGAUAUAGGAAGGAACACCAGUGGCGAAGGCGACCACCUGGACUAAUACUGACACUGAGGUGCGAAAGCGUGGGGAGCAAACAGGAUUAGAUAGCCUGGUAGUCCACGCCGUAAACGAUGUCAACUAGCCGUUGGAAGCCUUGAGCUUUUAGUGGCGCAGCUAACGCAUUAAGUUGACCGCCUGGGGAGUACGGCCGCAAGGUUAAAACUCAAAUGAAUUGACGGGGGCCCGCACAAGCGGUGGAGCAUGUGGUUUAAUUCGAAGCAACGCGAAGAACCUUACCAGGCCUUGACAUCCAAUGAACUUUCUAGAGAUAGAUUGGUGCCUUCGGGAACAUUGAGACAGGUGCUGCAUGGCUGUCGUCAGCUCGCGUCGUGAGAUGUUGGGUUAAGUCCCGUAACGAGCGCAACCCUUGUCCUUAGUUACCAGCACGUAAUGGUGGGCACUCUAAGGAGACUGCCGGUGACAAACCGGAGGAAGGUGGGGAUGACGUCAAGUCAUCAUGGCCCUUACGGCCUGGGCUACACACGUGCUACAAUGGUCGGUACAGAGGGUUGCCAAGCCGCGAGGUGGAGCUAAUCCCACAAAACCGAUCGUAGUCCGGAUCGCAGUCUGCAACUCGACUGCGUGAAGUCGGAAUCGCUAGUAAUCGCGAAUCAGAAUGUCGCGGUGAAUACGUUCCCGGGCCUUGCACACACCGCCCGUC